RNAcentral lists this ribosomal RNA (450 nucleotides) under uncultured bacterium. RNAcentral's name for it is "partial 16S ribosomal RNA". It matches the Rfam family "Bacterial small subunit ribosomal RNA", at positions 354 to 796 of the family's 1533-position model. The record is from RNAcentral.
GUGGGGAAUCUUCCACAAUGGACGAAAGUCUGAUGGAGCAACGCCGCGUGAGUGAAGAAGGGUUUCGGCUCGUAAAGCUCUGUUGUCGGGGACGAAUGUGCAGUAUUUGAAUAAAGUAGUGCAAUGACGGUACCUGACGAGGAAGCCACGGCUAACUACGUGCCAGCAGCCGCGGUAAUACGUAGGUGGCAAGCGUUGUCCGGAAUUAUUGGGCGUAAAGGGAGCGCAGGCGGGAAGGUAAGUCGGUCUUAAAAGUGCGGGGCUCAACCCCGUGAUGGGAUCGAAACUAUCUUUCUUGAGUGCAGGAGAGGAAAGUGGAAUUCCUAGUGUAGCGGUGAAAUGCGUAGAUAUUAGGAGGAACACCAGUGGCGAAGGCGACUUUCUGGACUGUAACUGACGCUGAGGCUCGAAAGCCAGGGGAGCGAACGGGAUUAGAUACCCGAGUAGUCC